RNAcentral lists this unclassified non-coding RNA (314 nucleotides) under fungal sp. RNAcentral's name for it is "partial internal transcribed spacer region". The stretch from base 1 to 46 matches the Rfam family "Eukaryotic small subunit ribosomal RNA", at positions 1786 to 1831 of the family's 1831-position model. Lineage: Eukaryota; Fungi. The record is from RNAcentral.
AAGUCGUAACAAGGUUUCCGUAGGUGAACCUGCGGAAGGAUCAUUAACACGUAUCCAACGUUAAACCCCCCGUGAACCUUCAUUGUGCUCCCCCAUUCCGUUAGGACGCGGCAAUCCCUGGUAAAUCAUCGCCGAACAGUUUUGAUUCAGGGACCUCUGCAUGGAGUGGGCAGCAGCGCGAGGCAAGUGGCCUGGCAUUCGAAAGAAUGGCGCAGUAACGAUCGCUAGAGGCCGACAUGCAUGAAAACGGGCCUGCGCUUAAUUGUGCGGCCACCAAACUCGAACAACUGUUAACAAUGGAUAUCUUGGUUCUC